Molecule: non-coding RNA, 592 nt
Organism: Danio rerio (zebrafish)
Lineage: Eukaryota; Metazoa; Chordata; Actinopteri; Cypriniformes; Danionidae
Source: RefSeq, a predicted model, not a curated record
CGGCCGGACAGCAAACUGCUCUUUGGCAGGUACAUUAAGAAAAUGGGCAAAACAUGAGUCCUAACGUUAGUGGAAUGGAGGGAGGAACCAUCGACCUAUGACAUUAUUGUUUCAAAAAAGAACCUACCGAAAAAGAAAUUUGAACCUGGGGAUGUUGUGGAUGUCGCCUAUGAGGAUAAAAGUUCACCAGCCACAGUUCUAGACAUUAAAGAGAACAAAGAAACUCUCAGGAGGAGGAUAUUCAGAAGAGGGGAAUUUACAGACGUAGUACAGAAGAAGUUUCCAAACGUACCAAUAAAAUUUAUCAGAGCAGCAGUAAGGGAAAAAGUAAAUGAUGAGCACAAGUUACAAGUAAGGCAAUCAUUUGUGCACGCACGCACACACACAUACACACGCACACACUUGUAUGGACCCUUUUCACAUUUGCGUGUUUUUUAGCAGCUGAAAUCAUCAUAGUUGGUAAACUUCGAGCGCAGUGAAUGAGAGAGUACAACGACUUUUUUUUUUUUUUACAAUUCUAUUUGCUACAGAAAACAAUGUCAAAUUUACUGUCCUGUCCCCAUAGACACUUCAUUAGAUACUCCUCGCAUUG